This 355-nucleotide ribosomal RNA is filed under the name Vallicula multiformis. RNAcentral's name for it is "s-rRNA". Lineage: Eukaryota; Metazoa; Ctenophora; Tentaculata; Platyctenida; Benthoplanidae. The record is from RNAcentral.
UUUAUAUUCUUUUUUUUUAUAGAAAUUUUUUUUUUAUUUAAGUUGGUUCCAGUUGAUUCGGUUAUACUAACAUAUUUAUUUUUUUUUUUUUAUUUUAAUUUAAUUUAAAUAUUUUUUAAAAUUCUUAUUAAAAUUUUACUUUAAUUUUUUUUUUUUUUGCAUGGUUUUUUAAAAUUUUAUGAUUUUUUUUUUUUUGAUAAGAAUAUGAUUUUAUGAAAUUUUUUUAUUUUUUUUUUUAUAUUUUUUAUUUAUUGUCCUAUAAAUAUUUUUUUAAGUAGUAUUAAGGAAUAAAAGAAAAAUUUCUUUUAUAUUUUAUGUAAUAUAUUUAUUUUUUGUUUUAUAUUUUUUUUUUCUA